Molecule: long non-coding RNA, 1216 nt
Organism: Dicentrarchus labrax (European seabass)
Lineage: Eukaryota; Metazoa; Chordata; Actinopteri; Moronidae
Exons: 3
Source: RefSeq, a predicted model, not a curated record
AGUUCAGUGAUUUAAUUGAGAUGGAGACACAACGGCUUACGGGAGAGUGAGGCAUGCAAAGGUCAGAACCAGAAGGCAGUCGACAGGAAGGAAAUAAAUCCAAUAAGGAGCAGGCAGGACUCCAAAGUCCAGAAACAGAAACAGGCUCCAGAUACAGGUCUACAGGUAAACUCCUGAACAGAAUCAGGCUCCAGAUACAGGUCUACAGGUAAACUCCUGAACAGAAUCAGGCUCCACAUACAGGUCUACAGGUAAACUCCUGAACAGAAUCAGGCUCCACAUACAGGUCUACAGGUAAACUCCUGAACAGAAUCAGGCUCCAGAUACAGGUCUACAGGUAAACUCCUGAACAGAAUCAGGCUCCAGAUACAGGUCUACAGGUAAACUCCUGAACAGAAACAGGCUCCAGAUACAGGUCUACAGGUAAACUCCUGAACAGAAUCAGGCUCCAGAUACAGGUCUACAGGUAAACUCCUGAACAGAAACAGGCUCCAGAUACAGGUCUACAGGUAAACUCCUGAACAGAAACAGGCUCCAGAUACAGGUCUACAGGUAAACUCCUGAACAGAAUCAUCCUAGUUGAUUCGUCGUUUCUGUUAUUAAUUUAAUAAUUUAAUUCUCUAUACUCUAACAGAAAGCGGUAAUGAUUCUGAGUGUGUCAGAACAACCAGCAAGGAGAUUGAACAUUUACAAUGUUGUAGAUACGGGGCAUAGGUCAGUGCUUUAUAUAGAGGCCAAACUUUUCUUCUUCUUUUGGCACCAAAAAUGCAUAUGAAGAUAAAGCCAAACUAACUCCCAACUUCACUAAAACAAAUCCUGGCUGACUGAUUGAUACGAUGAAUGAUGGAUAAUGUUAACAGUUACUGACUACUCUCCCCCGCUCUGGUUCUGUGGCUCAUUCGGGCCCCACUCCCUGGCAGUAUUCCCCGCUGGGUUCCUCUGCUGCUACGCUAGUAAUGUGUAAACUCCCUCUGUCCUUCCGGCUCUUAGGACUGCUAACUAGCUAAUAACAGCUCGUACAGUUAGCAUAUGCAGCCAGAGAGUGAUGAUGGAAGUAGUUGAGGAUUCCCUCUCGUCUCCGUUGAGAGCUGCACAUGCUCAGUACUGAUCAGGUGAAGAGUUUACAAGCGAGCGUUUCGAUGAUCCUGGAAACAGCCGGUGGCGUUAGAGGUUUUAAGAGCGAGGCAGAUAAAACUGUCCACCUGUGACCUUUGAC